RNAcentral lists this ribosomal RNA (497 nucleotides) under uncultured bacterium. RNAcentral's name for it is "partial 16S ribosomal RNA". It matches the Rfam family "Bacterial small subunit ribosomal RNA", at positions 28 to 507 of the family's 1533-position model. The record is from RNAcentral.
GAUGAACGCUGGCGGCGUGCCUAAUACAUGCAAGUCGAGCGAACAGACGAGGAGCUUGCUCCUCUGACGUUAGCGGCGGACGGGUGAGUAACACGUGGAUAACCUACCUAUAAGACUGGGAUAACCUCGGGAAACCGGAGCUAAUACCGGAUAAUAUAUUGAACCGCAUGGUUCAAUAGUGAAAGACGGUUUUGCUGUCACUAAUAGAUGGAUCCGCGCCGCAUUAGCUAGUUGGUAAGGUAACGGCUUACCAAGGCAACGAUGCGUAGCCGACCUGAGAGGGUGAUCGGCCACACUGGAACUGAGACACGGCCCAGACUCCUACGGGAGGCAGCAGUAGGGAAUCUUCGGCAAUGGGCGAAAGCCUGACGGAGCAACGCCGCGUGAGUGAUGAAGGUCUUCGGAUCGUAAAACUCUGUUAUUAGGGAAGAAAAAAUGUGUAAGUAACUAUGCACGUAUUGACGGUACCUAAUCAGAAAGCAACGGCUAACUACGUG